RNAcentral lists this ribosomal RNA (254 nucleotides) under uncultured bacterium. Its description in RNAcentral is "partial 16S ribosomal RNA". It matches the Rfam family "Bacterial small subunit ribosomal RNA", at positions 524 to 776 of the family's 1533-position model. The record is from RNAcentral.
UACGGAGGGUGCGAGCGUUGUCCGGAAUCAUUGGGCGUAAAGGGCGCGUAGGUGGCCCGGUGAGUCUUUGGUGAAAGCGCGGGGCUCAACCCUGCGUCGGCCAGGGAUACUGCCGCGGCUCGAGCACUGUAGAGGCAGGCGGAAUUCCGGGUGUAGCGGUGGAAUGCGUAGAUAUCGGGAGGAACACCAGUGGCGAAGGCGACUUCCUGGCCUGUUCUUGACGCUGAGGCGCGAAAGCUAGGGUAGCAAACGGG